UAUCAACCACCUAUCAUUUGCAGAUAACACCAUUUUGUUCUAUAAUAGUGGGAAAAAACCUCUAAAAAUGGUUCUUGAGACCCUCAAAUCCUAUGAAGGAAUCUCCGGUAACUUAUAAAUAGGCACAAGAGUGGCUUUGUGGUUGCUGAGAACACUAGACCUCGUGAUAUUGUCUGGCUUCAUAACAUCACUGGGAUGAACCACCAGAAAUUUCCUAUCAAAUAUUUGGGGUGUCCUAUCAUUGUUGGGAAGAAGAAAAUCUCUUAUUUUUCUGACAUUGUGAACAAAUUUACUAGUAGAAUAAGGGGUUGGCACACAAAACUACUUUCUCCAGGGGGGAAGGUCCAUCCUCAUCAGACAUGUCUUCAUGGCUCUUCCUAUACACCUCUUAUCAAUGGUUACUCCUCCUAAGGUCACUCUCGAAACUAUUGAGAAAUUCUUAAAUAGAUUUUUCUAGUCGGGGUUGGACAAUGGUGGUAAACAUCAUUGGGCUUCUUAGGACAACCUUUGCCAUCCCUACAAUGAGGGGGGCACCAACUUUAGAAAGCUCUCGGAUAUUUGUCAAUCCUUCAGUGCUAAAUAGUAGUGGUCUUUAAGAACCUCUAACUCCCUGUGGAGUGAAUUGAUGAAAGAAAAAUACUUGGUCGAGAAUCAUCAUCUGAAGGCAAAAUGGAAAAAAGGGCAAGCUCCCUCCUGGAAAGCUCUUUGUGCUACUGGGGAGGUGAUUGAUCAUAACAUUCUCUGGAUAGUUGAUAAAGGGGAGGUAUCCUUCUGGUCCGAUAACUGGAGUAACUUUGGCCCCCUUUAUCACAAAUUGACAACAAAUACUGACAUCUUAGAUGUGCAGCUUAAAGAAGUUUGCCACAAUGGAGAAUGGGAUUGGAAUAUGCUGAACAUUUCCUUACCUGAAGAUGGAAAACGAAGGAUCUUGAAGCAAAAAAAUACUAGUAUAAACAACAACAAAGAGGACAAACUAGUGUGGAUUCUUUCCCACACUGGAAAAUUCUCUCUUUGUUCUACUGGGAGGGAAUUGAGGCAAGAAAGAGCGCCCAACAACCUUGACAGCAGGCUAUGGCAGAACAACAUACCCUUUAAGAUGUAAUUCCUCACGUGGAGAGCCAUCCAUAAUAAACUCUCCACAGAUACGAAUGUUUCAAGGCUAGGAAUCCAUAUGGAUCCCAUGUGUUAUUGCUGUAACAGUAGUAGAGGUGCCACCGAGCUUGAAUCAGUUAACCACUUAUUUUGUCAUGGAGAUUUUGCUAACAAGAUGUGGUCUUUUUUUGCAUGUCCCCUGGGGAUAAAUACGAGCAACCCCAAUUUGAAGUUCACCCUUCUCAGUUGGUGGAACCACAAGACCAAGAACCCCAUCUGCUCACUUAUAAUUAAAAUUAUUCCUGGCAAGAUGUACUAACAAGUAUGAAGGAGAAAGACCUUCAUUAUAUCAAUCCUCCUCUAAUGUAUUAUUCAAUAUUUUACUGGUUCUAAGGAAGAGAUUUGGAAAUGCGAGGAUUGGAGACACUUGGAACUCUGUCUGUCGGGCCUGUGAUCGAGAUAUUCAUCAAACAAAAUCUACCAUCGUCAAAUGGAUUAGACCUCAAACAAACUCGUUAAAACUCAACAGUGAUGAAAGUUGUAUUAAUGGUAAGUGUGGGGGAGGCGGAAUGGUAAGAGAUAACACAGGGAAAAUUAUUUUUGCCUAUGCGAACCAUUAGACCCAGGUUCCAGAAACUAUGCCGAAGUUGCUGCUAUGCUCUUUGGCCUGGUGGUUCUUGAAUAAUGACUCAAGACCUGUUUGGGCGGAAACUGACUCACUGCUUUUAACAAAUUGCAUGAAAAAAGUUUGGAAAACUUCAUGGAAGUUAGCUAGUAUUGUUGACGAUAAUCAGAAACUAGUUGAAAAGAGUUGACUUUCAUAUUACUCAUUGCUUUAGAGAGGCUACUAAGCCAGCUGACAGGCUAGACGCUUUGAGCCACAGAAGUGCUGAGAUUCAAAUCUUCAACUCUUUCUCCGUCUUGCCCCUCGAAGUGAAAGGAUUUGACCAACUUGGAUAGAUGGGGUAUCCCAUCCAUAAGAAUCAAAGAUGUUUCGGAUAACCAUAUCGUAUAUGAUACCUCUUAGUGGCUUGACCUGUUAAGCUCUUUCGGGUAGGAUUACCAAUUCUAUAUUAGCCUCAUCUCAAUGAUUUUGUAUACAGUCUGGGAUGCCAGACUUAACUUGUAACUUUUUUGCACAUCAAUGUUCGAUGAAGGCUGGGUUGAAUUAAAAAAAAAAAACAAAGUUGUUGUUGUGGGUUUUGUCAACUUCCCAAAGGCAGAAAGUUAGAUUUGACAAGACAUUAUUGAAAUUGGUGAGAUAAUGUCCAAGUCCCUUUGCUUGUAGUUAUACUCAAUUACGAUUAAUUACUCCUAAUAAAAGGUCGAUAGAUACUUUGUACUAUCAACUAGUAUAAAUUCACCCAAAAGACCAUUAAUAAGACUUAUCAUUAGAACCGAUGAGAUAAGGCAUAGUCUCUUUGCUUGUACUUACGCUUAUCUAAAAUUUAUUAUUUUAGUUAUAGACUAGGUCAUUGGAAC
RNAcentral lists this long non-coding RNA (2574 nucleotides) under Capsicum annuum. RNAcentral's name for it is "long non-coding RNA (CANN_LNC018082)". Lineage: Eukaryota; Viridiplantae; Streptophyta; Magnoliopsida; Solanales; Solanaceae. The record is from RNAcentral.